Long non-coding RNA from Myodes glareolus (Bank vole), 740 nucleotides. RefSeq lists it as uncharacterized. Lineage: Eukaryota; Metazoa; Chordata; Mammalia; Rodentia; Cricetidae. The record is from RefSeq and is a predicted model, not a curated record.
ACAAUGGGUUGGUCCACCCACUGAGACAGUGUGCCUGAUCUAAUGGAAGCUCACCAAAUCCAGCUGGACCGGACUGAAUGAGUAUGUGAUCAAACCGGACUCUUCGGUGAAGUUUUGACUUCUUCCAGGUAAAUAGGGAUAGCCAAGGGGUCUUCUUCAGUUUGGCAGAGUAAGGAGGCUGAACCCAACAUGCCAAGUGGGAAGAAGAGUGAGGGAGAGAGGUCGCACAAGGAAAAGAGAAGACACAGGAGACCUGAGAAUGCUGAAGGUUCUUCUUACACAGAGCUCCUGAGCGACGCAACGAUAGAGCCAACGCUAUGUACGGGGGAGGGGGGGCCUCACCGCUGCGGCCCCCUUGAAUUACGGACUGCAUAGCAUUAGUCUUCUGAACUGUGCCGGAGACACCAAAAACAACGGCUUUUCCAUUUGGAUUUUAACAAACUAGUUUUAAGAAAGCUGGGAUUCUGAGGUCGGAAGUUCUAGGGUUUUAUCCCCUUUUCCUUGGCUAUAUGGAAAAAACAAACAAACAAAAACCGGGAAACAAGAACAAAAGCCCACCAUGUUUCAGAGGAAGAUUUCUGCCCUCUGAACAGCAUGUGGCCAUCAGGACUAGCCUCCUCAGCCCUACCCCAGAGCCUUGUUCCUCUGCCUGUGUUCUGUCUCAUCACUGACGUCCACCAUCUCCCCAGCUAUGAAGUGGUCAAUUUGGGGGCCAAUAAAACUCUAGUUUAUCUAACUGA